GAUCAUGGCUCAGGACGAACGCUGGCGGCGUGCUUAACACAUGCAAGUCGAACGAGACGAUUGAAAGCUUGCUUUUGAGAGUCGAGUGGCAAACGGGUGAGUAACGCGUAGACAACCUGCCGUAAAGAUGGGGACAACAGUUCGAAAGGACUGCUAAUACCGAAUGUUGUAGAGUUUCCGCAUGGGGAUCCUACUAAAGGUGGCCUCUACUUGUAAGCUAUCGCUUUACGAUGGGUCUGCGU
This 242-nucleotide ribosomal RNA is filed under the name uncultured bacterium. Its description in RNAcentral is "partial 16S ribosomal RNA". It matches the Rfam family "Bacterial small subunit ribosomal RNA", at positions 15 to 236 of the family's 1533-position model. The record is from RNAcentral.